GAUGAACGCUGGCGGCGUGCUUAAUACAUGCAAGUAGAACGGUGAAGGCCGAGCUUGCUCUUCUGCUUGAGUUGCGAACGGGUGAGUAACGCGUAGGUAACCUGCCUGGUAGCGGGGGAUAACUUCUGGAAACUAUAGCUAAUACCGCAUGACAACAGCUAUUGCAUGAUAACUGUUUAAAAGUGGCAACUGCUCCACUACCAGAUGGACCUGCGGUGUUUUAGCUAGUUGGUGUGGUAGAGGCGCACCAUGGCGAGGAUCCAUAGCCGACCUGAGAGGGUGAGCAGCCACACUGGGAGGGAGACACGGCCCAGAGGGCUACGGGAGGCAGCAGUAGGGCAACGGCGGCAAGGGGCGGAAGACAGAGCGAGCAACGCCGCAUGAGGGAAGAAGGUCUCCGGGUCGUAAAGCGCUGUUGUAAGGGAGGAAAGAGUGUGAGAGUGGAAAGAUCAGACUGUGACGGUAUCGUACCAAAAAGGAACGGCUAACUACGUG
This 495-nucleotide ribosomal RNA is filed under the name uncultured bacterium. RNAcentral describes it as "partial 16S ribosomal RNA". It matches the Rfam family "Bacterial small subunit ribosomal RNA", at positions 28 to 507 of the family's 1533-position model. The record is from RNAcentral.